GAGGUAAGGUGGGUAUGUUAAUAGUCAUACUCAUUUUGACGUUUAGCUGCAGAAGAAGCACCGGCUAACUCCGUGCCAGCAGCCGCGGUAAUACGGAGGGUUGCGAGUCGUUAAUCGGAAUUACUGGGCGUAAAGCGCAUGCAGGUGGUUUGUUAAGUCAGAUGUGAAAGCCCGGGGCUCAACCUCGGAAUUGCAUUUGAAACUGGCAAACUAGAGUACUGUAGAGGGGGUAGAAUUUCAGGUGUAGCGGUGAAAUGCGUAGAGAUCUGAAGGAAUACCGGUGGCGAAGGCGGCCCCCUGGACAGAUACUGACACUCAGAUGCGAAAGCGUGGGGAGCAAACAGGAUUAGAUACCCUGGUAG
This 362-nucleotide ribosomal RNA is filed under the name uncultured bacterium. RNAcentral describes it as "bacterial SSU rRNA". It matches the Rfam family "Bacterial small subunit ribosomal RNA", at positions 439 to 793 of the family's 1533-position model. The record is from RNAcentral.